GACGAACGCUGGCGGCGUGCUUAACACAUGCAAGUCGAACGGAAAGGCCCUGCUUUUGUGGGGUGCUCGAGUGGCGAACGGGUGAGUAACACGUGAGUAACCUGCCCUUGACUUUGGGAUAACUUCAGGAAACUGGGGCUAAUACCGGAUAGGAGCUCCUGCUGCAUGGUGGGGGUUGGAAAGUUUCGGCGGUUGGGGAUGGACUCGCGGCUUAUCAGCUUGUUGGUGGGGUAGUGUCUUACCAAGGCUUUGACGGGUAGCCGGCCUGAGAGGGUGACCGGCCACAUUGGGACUGAGAUACGGCCCAGACUCCUACGGGAGGCAGCAGUGGGGAAUAUUGCACAAUGGGCGGAAGCCUGAUGCAGCAACGCCGCGUGCGGGAUGACGGCCUUCGGGUUGUAAACCGCUUUCGCCUGUGACGAAGCGUGAGUGGCGGUAAUGGGUAAAGAAGCACCGGCUAACUACGUG
Molecule: ribosomal RNA, 468 nt
Filed under: uncultured bacterium
Lineage: Bacteria
Description: partial 16S ribosomal RNA
Rfam family: Bacterial small subunit ribosomal RNA
Source: RNAcentral